RNAcentral lists this unclassified non-coding RNA (350 nucleotides) under Hevea brasiliensis (rubber tree). The record is from RNAcentral. Lineage: Eukaryota; Viridiplantae; Streptophyta; Magnoliopsida; Malpighiales; Euphorbiaceae.
UGUUGCUGAGCAGUUGGGUUUGGAUGGUUCCUAUAUCCCUCGAACUUAUAUUGAACAGAUACAGCUGGAGAAGCUUGUUAAUGAUGUUAUGGCCUUGCCGGAUGAUUUAAAAACCAAGCUCAGCAUAGACGACGAGUCACUUUCGAGUCCAAAGGAAGCACUUUCCCGAGCUUCUGCAGAUAGGAGAAAUAAGUACCUUAACCGUGGCUUAUCACAAUCAUUUUCAAAUCGGAGGGACAAGACCUUGUCAAAGCUUACAAAGCUUGCUGUUAAUAAUAGGAGAUUUGAUGUGAGGGCUCCAGAUUCCCCUGCAGUAGUCUCUAACCAGGGAGCUAUUACUCAACUUUCAG